This 363-nucleotide unclassified non-coding RNA is filed under the name uncultured fungus. RNAcentral describes it as "sequence contains ITS1". The stretch from base 1 to 103 matches the Rfam family "5.8S ribosomal RNA", at positions 50 to 154 of the family's 154-position model. Lineage: Eukaryota; Fungi. The record is from RNAcentral.
GAAAUGCGAUACGUAAUGUGAAUUGCAGAAUUCAGUGAAUCAUCGAAUCUUUGAACGCAAAUUGCGCUUCAUGGCAACGUGGAGCAUACCUGGUUGAGUAUCAGUAACCCACCUCAUCCAAAUUUCUUGGAUGGAUAUGAGGCGUCCUAGCUAUUUUUUUAGCUAAGUCCCUUUAAGACUCGAGAUGUGCGCCAUAUGCUUAUGUCGUACAAAUGAUGUGGUAAUUGUAUCUAACAAAACUUCAUCAUUUGACAUAUAGCGCUGUGCCUACAUUUCCCUCUCCUCGGAGAGAACCUUGGACUGCACUUGUGUGGUCCUUGAAUCCUUGAUCUCAACUCAGGUAAGAUUACCCGCUGAACUUAA